RNAcentral lists this ribosomal RNA (322 nucleotides) under uncultured bacterium. RNAcentral's name for it is "bacterial SSU rRNA". It matches the Rfam family "Bacterial small subunit ribosomal RNA", at positions 32 to 361 of the family's 1533-position model. The record is from RNAcentral.
AAUCAACGCUGGCGGCGUGCCUAACACAUGCAAGUCGAACGAGAAAGGGGAGCAAUCCCUGAGUACAGUGGCGACCGGGUGAGUAACACGUGACUACCUACCCUUGAGUGGGGGAGUAACCUCGGGAACCGGAGGCUAAUACCGCAUAAUAUCGCAAGAUCAAAGGAGCAAUCCGCUCUUGGAGGGGGUCGGCGGCUGAUUAGCUAGUUGGUAGGGUAAGUGGCCUACCAAGGCGAAGANCGGUAUCCGGCCUGAGAGGGCGCACGGACACACUGGAACUGAAACACGGUCCAGACUCCUACGGGAGGCAGCAGGUGGGGAA